Molecule: long non-coding RNA, 527 nt
Organism: Carassius gibelio (silver crucian carp)
Lineage: Eukaryota; Metazoa; Chordata; Actinopteri; Cypriniformes; Cyprinidae
Exons: 2
Source: RefSeq, a predicted model, not a curated record
GAGUGGAUGCCGAUUUGCCAUAUCCUUCAUACUGAUAUUAAUUAUUUUAUUACAUGAUUUCUUGUUUGACUAUUAAUCAAGUUAUAGCAAGAGUGAAAUGUGUAACCUUAUGUGUGCUGUAUUUCUUUUCCUCAAGAUUAAUGUCCACAUAUUAUGUGUGUGUAUCCAAUCACACUUGCCAGUGCUAGAAAGCCUUGAAUUUUAGAUAAGUUCUCUGUGUAUGUGUGUUAGUAUCUGUCUGUACAGGGAGAAGCUCAGACAGUCCCAGGACAAACGAUCAACUGCCAGUGUCCAGCAUAUCAGAUAUACGUCUUUGGAGAGUUUUAUCUAGGUUUUGGAACCAAUCAGAAUUUUGUUGACUCAUGUAUUGACGCAAUUAGUAUCCUCUGUCAGGGUAUAACUGUGGUUGAUUUUGUAUUGUACUGGGGGCGGCCUGCGAACUCCUUCGAGAGUGUUGAAGCUGACUUCUGCUGAUGAAAUUGCAAACUAUUUUCUUCAAGUAAAAUUAUUAUUAUUAAUUGAACUCA